Molecule: unclassified non-coding RNA, 352 nt
Filed under: Hevea brasiliensis (rubber tree)
Lineage: Eukaryota; Viridiplantae; Streptophyta; Magnoliopsida; Malpighiales; Euphorbiaceae
Source: RNAcentral
GGAUUGACGGAGGAAUGUACUCUGUCGUAUAUAGAAACAAUCCGGCAGCGGUACCAAGGGAAUUGGAUUUGUGGAUUGUGUGCGGAGGCUAUCAAGGACGAGGUGAUUCGAUGUGAGAGGUUGAUUACUGCGGAAGAGGCAUUGAAUCGUCAUCUCAAUUUCUGUAAGAACUUCAGUUCGUCUCGUCCGCCAUUGAAUCCGACUGUUCAUUUAAUCGAUGCGAUGAGGCAGAUUUUGAGGCGGAGUUUUGAAUCUCCGAAAUUGAUUCGGUCGAUGUCUAGUAGUCCGGUGGAGAGUAGCGGAGAGAUGAAGCACACGGUGAUUGUUCGAUCGGAAAGUUGUAUUCCUGCAA